GCAAGGAAUUUUCCGCAAUGGGCGCAAGCCUGACGGAGCAACGCCGCGUGGGGGACGACGCCCUUCGGGGUGUAAACCCCUUUUCUUGGGGACGACGACCGACGGUACCCGAGGAAGAAGGCCCGGCUAACUACGUGCCAGCAGCCGCGGUAAUACGUAGGGGCCGAGCGUUGUCCGGAGUUACUGGGCGUAAAGCGCGCGCAGGCGGCUCGUCAAGUCCGGCGUGAAAGCCCCCGGCUCAACCGGGGAGGGUCGUCGGAGACUGGCGGGCUUGAGAGCGGCAGGGGUCGGUGGAAUGCCCGGUGUAGUGGUGAAAUGCGUAGAGAUCGGGCGGAACACCCGUGGCGAAGGCGGCCGACUGGGCCGACUCUGACGCUGAGGCGCGAAGGCGUGGGGAGCGAACGGGAUUAGAUACCCCAGUAGUCC
RNAcentral lists this ribosomal RNA (426 nucleotides) under uncultured bacterium. Its description in RNAcentral is "bacterial SSU rRNA". It matches the Rfam family "Bacterial small subunit ribosomal RNA", at positions 354 to 796 of the family's 1533-position model. The record is from RNAcentral.